Mauremys reevesii (Reeves's turtle) is the source of this 480-nucleotide long non-coding RNA. RefSeq lists it as uncharacterized. The record is from RefSeq and is a predicted model, not a curated record. Lineage: Eukaryota; Metazoa; Chordata; Testudines; Geoemydidae. The transcript is spliced from 3 exons.
CACCCAUGUUUAGUCCUGAGAAGAGAAGGCCAAGGGUGGGGACAUGGUAACAGUCUUCAAAUAUGUAAGAAACUGUUCUAAAGAGGAUGGUGAUCAACCAUGCUUCAUGUCCACUGAGGACCCCAGGCUUAGGAAGAAUGCCUGUUCGCCUUGGGUCUGAGAUGGACCAAGGAACAAUCCUCCUGGAAAUCCGGUUCCAAGCCCGGUUUUAUGACAGAGCAGCACCUUCGCUUUUAUCUUUUGUCCUGGAGGGGAUUUAAUUGUCUGCUCGUCACCCGGGGGGAGCUCGUAGACUCUGCAUUUAAUUCUGUGUGGUUGUUUUCCAUCCCAGACGUGACGAAGUCCCUUCAGAGCCCUGUCUUACAGCUACAGCUCGCCUGAGCAGAAACAUCCGACUCCGUGGGGAGGAAAGGCCAUGUUGUGCUCGCUCUGGGGCUAAAUCUUGGUUGGUUUAAACAAUCUUCUUCUGUUGGCAUCUGA